This 76-nucleotide ribosomal RNA is filed under the name Crinum buphanoides. Its description in RNAcentral is "partial 5.8S ribosomal RNA". It matches the Rfam family "5.8S ribosomal RNA", at positions 83 to 154 of the family's 154-position model. From Rfam's summary of the family: 5.8S ribosomal RNA (5.8S rRNA) is a component of the large subunit of the eukaryotic ribosome. It is transcribed by RNA polymerase I as part of the 45S precursor that also contains 18S and 28S rRNA. Lineage: Eukaryota; Viridiplantae; Streptophyta; Magnoliopsida; Asparagales; Amaryllidaceae. The record is from RNAcentral.
CGUGAACCAUCGAGUCUUUGAACGCAAGUUGCGCCCGAGGUUAUCUGGCCAAGGGCACGCCUGCCUGGGCAUCACG